CUGUUGCACAGGCUGAGAGGGGCGAGAACCCUCGACAGGGUUUGACAAAACGCGUGCGUUUUGGACCGCCAAAGGCGGCCCGCAGGGUGAGCGCAGCGAAUCACCCCCUCUCUCACCGCCA
Molecule: small RNA, 121 nt
Filed under: Serratia grimesii
Lineage: Bacteria; Pseudomonadati; Pseudomonadota; Gammaproteobacteria; Enterobacterales; Yersiniaceae
Description: RtT RNA
Source: RNAcentral